UACGAAGGGGGGCUAGUGUUGCUCGGAAUGACUGGGCGUAAAGGGCGCGUAGGCGGAUGGCACAGUCAGAUGUGAAAUUCCCGGGCUUAACCUGGGGGGCUGCAUUUGAUACGUGUUGUCUAGAGUGAGGAAGAGGGUUGUGGAAUUCCCAGUGUAGAGGUGAAAAUUCGUAGAUAUUGGGAAGAACACCGGUGGCGAAGGCGGCAACCUGGUCCUUGACUGACGCUGAGGCACGAAAGCUAGGGGGAGCAAACAGG
This 257-nucleotide ribosomal RNA is filed under the name uncultured bacterium. Its description in RNAcentral is "partial 16S ribosomal RNA". It matches the Rfam family "Bacterial small subunit ribosomal RNA", at positions 524 to 776 of the family's 1533-position model. The record is from RNAcentral.